UACGUAGGGGGCUAGCGUUGUCCGGAUUUAUUGGGCGUAAAGAGCGUGUAGGCGGCCAGGUAGGUCUGCUGUUAAAACUCGAGGCUCAACCUCGAGACGUCGGCGGAAACCAUCUGGCUAGAGUCCGGAAGAGGAGAGUGGAAUUCCUGGUGUAGCGGUGAAAUGCGCAGAUAUCAGGAAGAACACCCGUGGCGAAGGCGGCUCUCUGGGACGGUACUGACGCUGAGACGCGAAAGCGUGGGGAGCGAACAGG
Molecule: ribosomal RNA, 253 nt
Filed under: uncultured bacterium
Lineage: Bacteria
Description: partial 16S ribosomal RNA
Rfam family: Bacterial small subunit ribosomal RNA
Source: RNAcentral